GAUGAACGCUGGCGGCGUGCCUAAUACAUGCAAGUCGAGCGAACAGACGAGGAGCUUGCUCCUCUGACGUUAGCGGCGGACGGGUGAGUAACACGUGGAUAACCUACCUAUAAGACUGGGAUAACUUCGGGAAACCGGAGCUAAUACCGGAUAAUAUAUUGAACCGCAUGGUUCAAUAGUGAAAGACGGUUUUGCUGUCACUUAUAGAUGGAUCCGCGCCGCAUUAGCUAGUUGGUAAGGUAACAGCUUACCAAGGCAACGAUGCGUAGCCGACCUGAGAGGGUGAUCGGCCACACUGGAACUGAGACACGGUCCAGACUCCUACGGGAGGCAGCAGUAGGGAAUCUUCCGCAAUGGGCGAAAGCCUGACGGAGAAACGCCGCGUGAGUGAUGAAGGUCUUCGGAUCGUAAAACUCUGUUAUUAGGGAAGAACAAAUGUGUAAGUAACUAUGCACGUCUUGACGGUACCUAAUCAGAAAGCCACGGCUAACUACGUG
Molecule: ribosomal RNA, 497 nt
Filed under: uncultured bacterium
Lineage: Bacteria
Description: partial 16S ribosomal RNA
Rfam family: Bacterial small subunit ribosomal RNA
Source: RNAcentral